AGAGUUUGAUCCUGGCUCAGGAUGAACGCUAGCUACAGGCUUAACACAUGCAAGUCGAGGGGAAACGACAUCGAAAGCUUGCUUUUGAUGGGCGUCGACCGGCGCACGGGUGAGUAACGCGUAUCCAACCUGCCCACCACUUGGGGAUAACCUUGCGAAAGUAAGACUAAUACCCAAUGACGUCUCUAGAAGACAUCUGAAGGAGAUUAAAGAUUUAUCGGUGAUGGAUGGGGAUGCGUCUGAUUAGCUUGUUGGCGGGGUAACGGCCCACAAGGCGACGAUCAGUAGGGGUUCUGGAGAGGAACGGUCCCCCACAUUGGAACUGAGACAUGGUCCAAACUCCGUACGGGAGGCCA
RNAcentral lists this ribosomal RNA (356 nucleotides) under uncultured bacterium. RNAcentral's name for it is "bacterial SSU rRNA". It matches the Rfam family "Bacterial small subunit ribosomal RNA", at positions 8 to 351 of the family's 1533-position model. The record is from RNAcentral.